AGCUUGGCGCAGUGUCAGUAUCGUAGCCAAUGAGGUUUAUCCGAGGUGCGAUUAUUGCUAGUUGAAAACUUUUCCCAAUACCCCACCAUGACAACUUGAAAUAUAGUCAGCACUGGCAAUUUUUGACAGUCUUUAUGGAGA
Molecule: small nuclear RNA, 141 nt
Organism: Callithrix jacchus (white-tufted-ear marmoset)
Lineage: Eukaryota; Metazoa; Chordata; Mammalia; Primates; Cebidae
Gene: U4
Rfam family: U4 spliceosomal RNA
About the family: U4 small nuclear RNA (U4 snRNA) is a component of the major U2-dependent spliceosome. The structure of U4 snRNA from yeast and human has been reported.
Source: Ensembl